UGAGCCAUGAUCAAACUCUAUUGGAAACGACUGCUAAUACCGCAUAAUGUCUACGGACCAAAGUGGGGGACCUUCGGGCCUCACGCCAAAAGAUUAGCCCAAGUGGGAUUAGCUAGUUGGUAAGGUAAUGGCUUACCAAGGCAACGAUCCCUAGCUGGUUUGAGAGGAUGAUCAGCCACACUGGGACUGAGACACGGCCCAGACUCCUACGGGAGGCAGCAGUGGGGAAUAUUGCACAAUGGGCGCAAGCCUGAUGCAGCCAUGCCGCGUGUGUGAAGAAGGCCUUCGGGUUGUAAAGCACUUUCAGUAAGGAGGAAAGGGUAGUCUUUAAUAGAGGCUAUCUGUGACGUUACUUACAGAAGAAGCACCGGCUAACUCCGUGCCAGCAGCCGCGGUAAUA
This 400-nucleotide ribosomal RNA is filed under the name marine bacterium SIMO-4455. RNAcentral describes it as "bacterial SSU rRNA". It matches the Rfam family "Bacterial small subunit ribosomal RNA", at positions 132 to 525 of the family's 1533-position model. The record is from RNAcentral.